This 736-nucleotide ribosomal RNA is filed under the name Staphylococcus auricularis. Its description in RNAcentral is "bacterial SSU rRNA". It matches the Rfam family "Bacterial small subunit ribosomal RNA", at positions 57 to 777 of the family's 1533-position model. The record is from RNAcentral. Lineage: Bacteria; Bacillati; Bacillota; Bacilli; Caryophanales; Staphylococcaceae.
GCAGUCGAGCGANNGAUAAGGAGCUUGCUCCUUUGACGUUAGCGGCGGACGGGUGAGUAACACGUGGGUAACCUACCUAUAAGACUGGAAUAACUCCGGGAAACCGGGGCUAAUGCCGGAUAACAUGUUGAACCGCAUGGUUCUACAGUGAAAGGCGGCUUUGCUGUCACUUAUAGAUGGACCCGCGCCGUAUUAGCUAGUUGGUGAGGNNNNGGCUCACCAAGGCAACGAUACGUAGCCGACCUGAGAGGGUGAUCGGCCACACUGGAACUGAGACACGGUCCAGACUCCUACGGGAGGCAGCAGUAGGGAAUCUUCCGCAAUGGGCGAAAGCCUGACGGAGCAACGCCGCGUGAGUGAUGAAGGUCUUCGGAUCGUAAAACUCUGUUAUUAGGGAAGAACAAAUGCGUAAGUAACUGUGCGCGUCUUGACGGUACCUAAUCAGAAAGCCACGGCUAACUACGUGCCAGCAGCCGCGGUAAUACGUAGGUGGCAAGCGUUAUCCGGAAUUAUUGGGCGUAAAGCGCGCGUAGGCGGUUUUUUAAGUCUGAUGUGAAAGCCCACGGCUCAACCGUGGAGGGUCAUUGGAAACUGAAAAACUUGAGUGCAGAAGAGGAAAGUGGAAUUCCAUGUGUAGCGGUGAAAUGCGCAGAGAUAUGGAGGAACACCAGUGGCGAAGGCGACUUUCUGGUCUGUAACUGACGCUGAUGUGCGAAAGCGUGGGGAUCAAACAGGA